RNAcentral lists this ribosomal RNA (773 nucleotides) under uncultured bacterium. Its description in RNAcentral is "bacterial SSU rRNA". It matches the Rfam family "Bacterial small subunit ribosomal RNA", at positions 59 to 830 of the family's 1533-position model. The record is from RNAcentral.
CAGUCGAACGAAGCACUUUAUUUGAUUUCUUCGGAAUGAAGAUUUUGUGACUGUUUGGCGGACGGGUGAGUAACGCGUGGGUAACCUGCCUCAUACAGGGGGAUAACAGCUGGAAACGACUGCUAAUACCGCAUAAGCGCACAGGGUCGCAUGACCUGGUGUGAAAAACUCCGGUGGUAUGAGAUGGACCCGCGUCUGAUUAGCCAGUUGGUGGGGUAACGGCCUACCAAAGCGACGAUCAGUAGCCGACCUGAGAGGGUGACCGGCCACAUUGGGACUGAGACACGGCCCAAACUCCUACGGGAGGCAGCAGUGGGGAAUAUUGCACAAUGGGGGAAACCCUGAUGCAGCGACGCCGCGUGAGCGAAGAAGUAUUUCGGUAUGUAAAGCUCUAUCAGCAGGGAAGAAGAAAUGACGGUACCUGACUAAGAAGCACCGGCUAAAUACGUGCCAGCAGCCGCGGUAAUACGUAUGGUGCAAGCGUUAUCCGGAUUUACUGGGUGUAAAGGGAGCGCAGGCGGUACGGCAAGUCUGAUGUGAAAGCCCGGGGCUCAACCCCGGUACUGCAUUGGAAACUGUCGGACUAGAGUGUCGGAGGGGUAAGUGGAAUUCCUAGUGUAGCGGUGAAAUGCGUAGAUAUUAGGAGGGACACCAGUGGCGAAGGCGGCUUACUGGACGAUUACUGACGCUGAGGCUCGAAAGCGUGGGGAGCAAACAGGAUUAGAUACCCUGGUAGUCCACGCCGUANACGAUGAAUACUAGGUGUCGGGGAG